Molecule: non-coding RNA, 78 nt
Organism: Cordylochernes scorpioides
Lineage: Eukaryota; Metazoa; Arthropoda; Arachnida; Pseudoscorpiones; Chernetidae
Source: the annotation of a GenBank genome assembly
UCCCAAAUAGCUUAGUUGGUAGAGCGUUAAACUAAAGAUCUAAUGAUUCGUCUAGUUUCAAAAUCACUUGAUUAGGUA